GUGUUCCUGUUGAUGAGUAAGGUGAUCAAAGCUCCUGGGGGCAAUUGAGGGUAGAGUCGGCAACGCGCUUGCGAUGCUUCUGGUGGUGCAGGUGUCUAUAAGCUACGGUAAUCGCUGAUGGUAACAUCAGGUGAGCCGUACGCUUGUUUGCCGAGCUAGUUUUAUAAAAAAAAAGCCGCCGUAGCCGAAAACGGCAAGGGCGACUACUAUGAUAUAGUAUACAAGAAUUUAUUAUAAGAUAGAUAAGUAGAAUUUACAUUUGGCAACGUGCUUGUAAUACUCCUUGUGUUACGAGCGUUUAAAUUAGCUAUGUAUAUCAUAAACUAUGAUAACCACCUACCAUCAGGCGAACCGUACGGUUGUUAGUUGCCAUAGUGGUUUGAAAAAUAUAUAAGGUUAAUCCUGUGUUCUAUUAUCUUAUUAUAUUAUUAGUAUUAAUAAACAUUGUGUUUUCUCUAACUAUUAAAAUAUAUAUAAUUGACAAAAUCUUAAGCACUGAUUAGACAUUUAUUUAUAUAAUCUUUAUAAGAAAUAUAUACUAAUUGAUAAAAUUGUAUGAUAAAAAAGUCAAUUAACAUUGUUACUAGUGAAAGUAUAAACAAUUAUUACAUUAAUUAAAUGAAUUAUUAAAUGUAUACGCACAAAGUUUGUAGAAUUAUUUAUAAAAAGGUAAAACAUUUAUUUAAUAUCUACAUCUCUGUAAUGUACUUAUUUUAAUAAAUCAUUAAUUCACCUAAAACUUUAUACGAGACAUUAUUCAUGUUAUUUUAGCAUCGUCGAAAGCAAUUAAUCUAAAAGAAUAAUUGUAAGCUAUAUGAUAGAACUUACAACUGCUCUGGAUUGCUUGGUACCUGUAGUUUGUUGCGGUAAGCGGAGGAUUCAGAAUAGGUACUUUGUAGUGUAUGUACAUGUGAACAUAUAGUAAGUAUAUGCGGAUAGAUGGUAAUAACACUCAAUGUAAAUUUAUAUAUUUUUCAAAAUAAUAACUUCAAGUCACUAUUAUUUUGAAUCAAUGAAUGAAUAUUGGGAAACUAAAAUAAUAAACAUAAUAAGUAUAAUGGUAAGAAAAGAGAAAAAGAAGAAGA
Molecule: unclassified non-coding RNA, 1085 nt
Filed under: Melitaea cinxia (Glanville fritillary)
Lineage: Eukaryota; Metazoa; Arthropoda; Insecta; Lepidoptera; Nymphalidae
Description: misc RNA ENSMCXG00005003733.1
Source: RNAcentral